Molecule: non-coding RNA, 93 nt
Organism: Mycena leptocephala
Lineage: Eukaryota; Fungi; Basidiomycota; Agaricomycetes; Agaricales; Mycenaceae
Source: the annotation of a GenBank genome assembly
GCCCCCGUUGAUCAGCGGUAGAUCAUCCUCGCUCAAUUAUAGAGCUGUCUGUAAAUUUCGAGGACGUCGUAGGUUCGAACCCUACCGAGGGCA